This 385-nucleotide ribosomal RNA is filed under the name uncultured bacterium. RNAcentral's name for it is "bacterial SSU rRNA". It matches the Rfam family "Bacterial small subunit ribosomal RNA", at positions 30 to 416 of the family's 1533-position model. The record is from RNAcentral.
AUUGAACGCUGGCGGCAUGCCUUACACAUGCAAGUCGAACGGCAGCACGGGAGCAAUCCUGGUGGCGAGUGGCGAACGGGUGAGUAAUAUAUCGGAACGUGCCCAGUCGUGGGGAUAACGUAGCGAAAGCUACGCUAAUACCGCAUACGAUCUAUGGAUGAAAGCGGGGGAUCGCAAGACCUCGCGCGAUUGGAGCGGCCGAUAUCAGAUUAGGUAGUUGGUGAGGUAAAGGCUCACCAAGCCGACGAUCUGUAGCUGGUCUGAGAGGACGAUCAGCCACACUGGGACUGAGACACGGCCCAGACUCCUACGGGAGGCAGCAGUGGGGAAUAUUGGACAAUGGGCGAAAGCCUGAUCCAGCAAUGCCGCGUGAGUGAUGAAGGCC